Molecule: ribosomal RNA, 357 nt
Filed under: Shigella sonnei
Lineage: Bacteria; Pseudomonadati; Pseudomonadota; Gammaproteobacteria; Enterobacterales; Enterobacteriaceae
Description: bacterial SSU rRNA
Rfam family: Bacterial small subunit ribosomal RNA
Source: RNAcentral
AAAUUGAAGAGUUUGAUCAUGGCUCAGAUUGAACGCUGGCGGCAGGCCUAACACAUGCAAGUCGAACGGUAACAGGAAGCAGCUUGCUGCUUCGCUGACGAGUGGCGGACGGGUGAGUAAUGUCUGGGAAACUGCCUGAUGGAGGGGGAUAACUACUGGAAACGGUAGCUAAUACCGCAUAAUGUCGCAAGACCAAAGAGGGGGACCUUCGGGCCUCUUGCCAUCGGAUGUGCCCAGAUGGGAUUAGCUUGUUGGUGGGGUAACGGCUCACCAAGGCGACGAUCCCUAGCUGGUCUGAGAGGAUGACCAGCCACACUGGAACUGAGACACGGUCCAGACUCCUACGGGAGGCAGCAG